CACAGAGGCAGCUGGGGGACAGAUACUCCAUGCCUAUGGUUCUUGGUGCUCCAAGGACAUGAAGAGCAGUGCAGUUGUCCAUGCUCCUGACUCUGGAGUCAAGUGAGCUCUGACUGCCUUAGGGUCCUAGGCACCAGCCUUUGUGGAUCCUCAGGUUUGCUCACGGAAGUGUAAGGAUGCACCUUGUAAAGCACCUGUGCCUGCUGCUCCCAGGGUGCCUUCUUUUUGAAGGGAAAGAGAGAAAUUGGAAGGAGCUUGGAAAGAUGGCAGCAUGGAGUCAGGGGCCAGAGAGCUGCAAGCAUCCUGAGGGAAGGAACGGGGAGGUCACCAGCUUCAGGAGCUACACGCCAGGGAAAUGAUGCCCAGCAUCAAACUAGACACAUGAAUUUUGAUCAACAUCCUGUGAAUGGAGGGACUGAGUCUUUUGAAGAUGAUUCAGUGGAUUCAAUGGAUUUGAAGAUCUGUGGACAUAUUUUGAUUGGGAAAAAUUUGAAAAUCUUUCUCAAGUGAAAGCUGGAGCUGAGACUUUUAGAUCUCAGGGUAUCAUACACUUCCCUUUUCACUCCUUUCUCUAUUUUUAAAUGUCUUUUUCACUUUUCUGUUCUUAUUUUCUCCCUGUGUACAGAUCAAAUGGACUCCAGACCACAUUUCUUUCCUCUUGUUUGUGUGUGACCCAAAUCUCAUGACCCAGAGUUCUAGCAAACACCUAAGUUGUGAAAGUCUCUCUGCUGUUGAUGGGUUCUCAGUGGGAAAAAAAGAACAUGUGAUAUUGAAUUUUCCAACACAGGCAAUUGGGUCACCAUAUCCAGGAAGGAAAGAAAGUCUGCUUCUAAGAAGCACCUUGAAGCAUCCUUGGUUAUUCGUUCUCUGGGUGACAAAGAGGCUCACCUUCCUUGGCUCACUAGAGGCCUUAAUGGACUGGCAAAUAUUAUGGGACGUUUUGGUGGCCCCAGAGGAAAAUCUUUCAUUCAUUCAUUUCCAAAAAUUUAAAUUCAGAAGUUUAGUCCUAAUAAGAUCCAAUUAUUAUGUGCUUGAACAACCUAAAAACAGCCUGGGUGAGUACAGAAUCCAUUUUAUCCUUACCAAAACAGUCCAGCCUACCAUGGAGUUUGUUCAAAUGAUCCAUUUUCAUUCAUGCAUUAUAGAAAACUUGCCAAAUGUAGCCCAGCCUUUUUGUUUUCAAAAGCAACUGCAUUUUAAUCAUCUCAGAAAUAUUAAGAUCCCUCUAGUCUUGGAUAAUCUGCUCCAGGUCCCAUCAUUCCUACCAAGGGUAAACAUUCCCAAAAGUCCAGCACAAAACUCUUUUGUAGAAUAUAAAGCCUUCUGCAUUUCGCUAGAAGAACAAUAAGGUCUUUAUGAGUGACAACAAUACUUUAAGAAUUUGGAGAAAUCCUCCUUUUGAAGUCCCUGCUCUUUUUGGAAUGCCUGGAGCAUUAGUUGGAGGUUAUUCUCUAAUAGUUUCAUGUUUGCCUCAGGAAAUAUGCCUUGACUAUUAUACAUUGAGUGUUUAUUUGUGUAGUAUAGAAAAUCCUUUACAUUUUAUUUAAUUUCAUUUUGAUUUCAUUUAAUACUAAUUGACUCUCAGCAAAGUGGAUUUUGUUACCCCAUUUUAAAGAGGAGAAAACUAAGGUUUCAAUAUAUUUUCAAAUUUGCCUGAAGUUGAGCAUCUAGUUCACAACAGGGCCAGAAAAUGAAUGUUGGAUCCAAAUUUUUUUUAUUUAUUAAGUUUAUUGGUACAUUUUAGGUAUAUAAUAUGAUGACAUUCAUCAUUGGGAGUUUGUACCUUUACAUGAUAUAUCUUGGUUCUUAUUUUUUUCUCCAUUCCCCUGCCCUCCCUUGGAUCCAAAUAGUUUUUAAACCCAGGUGCCUGCAAGUCUGUUAAGUUUGUGACUAAAUCACUGUGCAUUUUUGCAAUGAAUAUAAAUUCCUGGACCCCAAACUAGACUCCAAGUCAAAAUCUUGGGGGCAAAGGCCAAGAAAUCUUUUUUUACUAAGUUUCCCAAGAGUUUGUCUAGAGAACAAAACCAAUUUUUGGAGUAACUGGUAAGUAAAUGGGCAUGGUGAGAAAAUAUUUCUUUCUCCUCUUGGGGUUGUAGUUGGGUAACAUGAGUGUCAUAUAGACAUCUGACCUUGUGCUGUGGCUGCAAAUCUCAUUUGGCCUUGACUGUGGGUGUGCUUGCCCUUUAGUUUUUAAGUGGUGUAGAAAUAGGCCAAUACAUUUUGUGAGACAUGCUGGACAUUUUGUGCAGCUUAACAUUACCUGAUUUAUCUUACAGCAAUCCACAACUAAAACUUAUGUUAACUCAGGACACUUCAGAUAAUUCCCAGUUUAUGUAUUUCACCCCUCACUUCUCUGCCCUUUGACUUCAGCAGCCAAACUUCUUCACUGAAGUUUAAAUGUAAAGCAAUACUUGAUUAAGGGGUUGGGCCUUAGCUGGUCUCUCUUUAGUACCAAAGUAGAACUUCAUAGAAAUUAUACUCUUCCAGGGGCAACAUGUUUUCUGUUUUCUUUGUAAGGGAAAAUUCUGACUCUUUUUAGGUGGAAGAUGGACUAUAGAUUUCUGCGAGUAUGACACAUACCUAAUAAUCACCUAUAGUAAUGUCUGUCUCAGUAACAAAACACUUCACUCAAUUGUAUCUCACAAGCAUUUAUUGAGUAUGUACUACUUUCCAGACAUUGGCUCAAGUUUAAAAUGCAUAAGGAAUGCUGCAAUAAGAAGGCACUUAAAAUAGUCCACAUAUGGCAUCUGCAUUGGUAGAUUUUGUUCAUUAAUGGAAGAUUGCUAGGAUCAUGAAUUAUCCUUUGCUAAUACCCAGUGGAAUGAAGCAAAAAGCUAAGGAAAAUUAAAAGGUAACAGAAGUACGACAAAUGACACUGUAGAACACUUUAAAAAGAAGCAGCAGUUGCUGUAUUUAGUUAAGCCUGUAAUGGUGCAAAGCUCAUCUUUCAUUAGUAAUGGGGUUGGAUGCAGUCUCUUUGGCCUGUCCCUGCUAUAGUUAUUCUGAAUACAGCAGAACUCAUUUCAAGGCAAAAAGCCUCUGGGAGCUUCCUGAAGCAGCAUUUGGACCUUAACUUGCUACCAUCCUUCGUAUUUAUCCGGUAUUUUUCACCUUUCCUGCUACAGCAGAAUCAAACUUAUUCCUAUAAAUUUGUAAAAAACAUUUCUUCCCUGUGGCCUCAGCCCACCCACCCCAAUGGCCUCAUAGCCUCCUUGGGCUCCAAGUGGCACCAGGCGCCAUCUGCCAACCCAGCACACCUUCCCCCCAAACCCAAACAAUCUGUAGCUUAACCCUGUUUCCUCCCCACUUACUGCCACGUCUCUUUUGAUUACCCUGCAUAUUCCAAAGCAACCUUCUAAAAACAUUCUCACUUCCUGCUUCCUGUGCCUUGCAAUUUAUCUUCCCACAACCACUCUUCCAAAAGUGAGGUUAGGGUGUCACCUUAACUUCCACAUGUCAUGGUCACAGGCCUAGUCCCCAUCUUUACUGAAUUUCAGGAUCUGGCAUUAUUUUUCACUAUCACCCGGGUGCAGGAAACUCUAAUAGAACAAUCCCUUCUCAUGACCCAAAGGCAGCAAGAAAGGUCAGAAGGCCCAGAUACCUGUUCCAAGGUGCCCUCUAUGAAAUGCUCCCCGCCCUUGAAAUUUUUGCUAGUUGGAGUGUGCCUAGGAAACCCUCUUAUGUGUAUGCAUUCCCCAAGGCUGGGGCAUCAACCUUUUCCUAGAUUACAAUUACUUCCUCAGCUAUCAUACCUCCUUUUAGGAUGCCAAAUAUCUGUUCUCUAUGGAUGAACCCCAAUCUACAUCUAGCUCUGCAUGCCAGAAACCACAAACCUGCACUUCCAAGAGCACAGUCAGCUUCUCUUCAACCUUCCAGUGUCCAGAACCACCGUUCUGACCCUUGCCAUCCUCCUCUCAUCAGCAUCCUUGGUGUUCUGCUUCUGGGUUCGUGUCUUCAGAUCCUCUCUGAUGCUCUCCCUCUCCCUUGGCCUCAUACAUCCUGCCCAUGCACUUAGUGACUCGCUCCCUGCACCCGGCAUCAGCUCUUGCUUGGUUCUCAUUGUCCCUCUUCCAGCUGCUGCCUUCAUGACUGAACAGGGUGCAUGUAAUUCUCCAGUCCAGUCCCUCUCUCGGAAUUCUCUCUUAAGUGAUGCCUGACCCCAUCUUACAUCUGUUCUAACAUGUGGCAACUCUCUGCUGCAUUCUGAAUGAGUUCUAAAAUCCAUAGUAUGGCUGGAAUUCAAGGCCAUCAACAAUUUAGUCUGCAUCCAAUGCUCCUGGGACUGCACCUCACACCCCAGGGUACUUCCCGAGUGCAUGCACUGCCACACCAAGGUCACGUCAAGGCCACGUCAGAUGCUGUCCUGUCCAGGAACCCUUCUUUGCUUGCCUGGAUGGCAGUAACAAACUCACCCCAUACCUCCCUUGUGGCAUGUGUGAUCUUCACCAUGGUGCUUAUACAUUCGACUUGUCAUACUAAAGUAUAAAUUCCAUGAGAGUAACAGAAAAGGGUGAAGAUUUAAGGCAUACUUUUUUUCCUUUUCCUAUACUGUUCAUAUGGGGGUUUUUUUUGCAAAUUUAUCAAUAGUUAGUAAUAACUUUAUUAAGUAAAACACAUUUGUCCUGGCAGAGCUGGUCGAGAUUAAAUUGACAAUGCUAUCAGUCUCAACCCAUUGACAAAGGGGCCCUCACCAUGGGUGAGGCACUUCUGGUACCUUGUUUCACCAAAUCUUCACAAAAUUUGAGCGAGUUGGGCAUGACCAUAAUGACUUCUGCAAAAGAGGUAAACAAAGUCCCAGGCGAUUUGGUAACUGUCUCAAAUUCUAUAGGAGCCCAGGACAUAAAUCUGUGUUGAUGGCUCUUGGGCUAUGGGUUCUUGCUACCUAACUUGGCCAGCUUUAUUUAUUUUUUGAGUUCUUAAAUGGACUAACAGGUCCUAUGGCUACAUACUGAGAAAGGCAGAGGUCAAAGGGGACUGUCAUCUGCAGCCCUCUGGCUCGUCUUUCCUUCCACUAGUCUUUUUUUUUUUUUGGUACCAGGGAUCGAACUCAGGUCCUUAGCUUUUGAGGCAGGCAGUGGAACCACUGAGCUAAAUCCCCGGCCCUCUUCCACUAGUCUUAAUGUCAACUAGAGAAAAACUCUUCAAGCAAAACUUCCACGUAUUUGAAUAAAAAACAGAGAAAAAGGAAGAUACUUUGUGCAGGAUCAUAAAGUGGCCAUCAUUAUCAUCAUCAUCAUGAUCAUCAUCACUACUAUCCUCCUUCUUAUUAUUGUUUAACACUGAUCAUUUCUCUUCAUUUCAAGUUUCACAUCUGAGGCAUUUAUGUCCUCUUGAGCCCAGAGAAGAUGACGAGCUGACUAUUGUAGUCCUUCAGGGCUCUCAUUAUUAGUGAGAUCAGUGAUGCUUGUGAUGCCUAAGAGACCAUUUCUGGAAGGUCUGAGGGUCAGGACAGAGACAGAUGAGGAGGGGAGGCACAAAUGGGAAUAGAAGAAGAGAUUAGGAGCCCUUUCCAUGAGCCUUCCCUCUAUCUUAGAAUAGCCAGUACACUGUGGGCAGCUCAUUUUUUUAAAAAAAAUUGCAGUGCCAGGGAUUGGACACAGGGCCUUCACACUGAGCCAUACCCACAGCCCUUUUUAAAAGGUUUUUAAUUUUGGGACGGUCUCACUAAGUUGCUAAGUUGCCCAGGCUGGGUUCAAACUUGUCAUCUUCCUGCAUCAGCCUCCCAGAGUGUUGGGGAUUACAGACAUGCACCACAAUGCCCAGCUUGCCAACUAUAUUUUUAAAAUGGUUUUAUUAAAAACAGAAAAGACCACAAAUCCUAAGUGUCCAGUUUCCUGAAUUUUCCCAAAGCAAACACAUCUGAGAAAUCCACACCUCAGUUAAGAAAUAAAAUAUCUGCAGGGCCUAGGGAGCUCCACUCCCUGGGGUCCUUUCAGUCCCUACUCCCCCACCCCCACCUCCAGGACCCCCUUUCUGGAUCCAUUUUAAGCAAAAUCUGCUGUUCAGGCCAGGAUGGCAUGUGCUCUCCUUCAACAAGUUUUUGUUGGCAGCAAACUGCCAUCUCAAAGAGGGGGAAAGAAAAAUGUGUGUGAGGGAGUAAUUUUGUGUGUAGGAGAAAAGUGUUUCUAAUUAUCAGUCCCGCAGACACGAGGGGCAGAAGGAAUAGUGAAGGAGGGAAGUCGGUCCGUUAAUGCGGUCCUGGCUCAGCUUCCUGGCCAGGGCCUGGAAGCCGUUUGAGGAAGGAAGCCCUUUUGUUGUUUUGAGGAAGGAAGCAAAUAGAGUGGCCCUUUCCCUACCUUCCCCAGCCUGCCCAGGCUCAUGCCCAUAGUGUGCAAGUCAGUGGACAGGUCAGUGGCUAUUUAAUAGCAACAUGUUCGCUCGGAGGCAGAUAAGAUAUUAAACAUAUGGUUUCGAUUUUUUUUUUUUUUCUGUUUUUAACCAGUCAGAUGGAGUGUCACAGACCUAACUUCAGGAUUUUCUGGGUUCUGCCAAACUGUAAUGGGAAAGUAACUCCUACACCAGUGACCAUGACCCCCAACCCCCAGGCUCAGCAGCUUUGGGGGCCCAGGAGGAAGGGACCACAGAUGGCAUGGUGGACAUGCAGGGUCACUGAAGCCUCAGAGAGGGGCGCUGUCGUGUUGACCUGACAAAGCACACAGACCUGUCCCCUCUGUGCCGUGCCUUUCUGUGCUAGUUUAUCAAACUGGAAGGGAGAGUUCAGAACAUCAAAUGCAACUUCACAGCCACAAAGCGAUUAACUCAAGAUCCAACAUGUACCCAUAUCUACACAGGAUUAGCUGGCAACAUUCUCCAGCUUUCUAUCUUGGGUUACUGGCUACCAGUGCUUCUAGAAAUCAUCAUUCCUCUCAGUUCCUUUUUUGGAUCAAUUAUUUAGUAUGGUCUGGGUUAUACAACAGAAAUUUCACCCUGAGGUGGGGGAAUGCAUGCUCUUUAGCAGUCAGCUAGAAAAUUGGCAGUUUUUGAUAAAAAGGCACAUCUUCAGCAUGGCAAGCAGACUGUUGGAAAAGUUUAUAGGACAUCAGUAAUCUUAACAGACAGAGGGGCAGAAAGAGAAAGGAAGUAAGGAAGGAGAGAGAGGGAGAAAGAAGGAAAGAGAGAAAGAGAGAAAGAAAAGAAAGAAAGAAGAAAGAAAGAAAGAAAGAAAGAAAGAAAGAAAGAAAGAAAGAAAGAAAGAAAGAAAGAAAGAGAGAGAAAGAAAAAAGAGGCAGAGUGCAGUAGAGUAGAGGCCUAGGGAUCUUUAAGUUAAAAAUCGAAAUGCUUGUCUCAGGGCAAGUCUGAAAAACCAUGCAGCAGAUUCCUGCUUCCUCUAGAUGAAAACCAGGACACAGGGUAGGGAAGUGGCCCAGGCCCUCCUUGCCCUCCCUGUGUUUACUUGGGGUGUCUCUGAGUGGGCCUGAGUGGAACUGAGGGAAAAAAAUCCUUCCUGGUUGCUGUCUGGAGGAAGCAGGGCAGGUGAGUGUGGCUGGCUGUUGGCUGCAGCUGGGAUUAAUUAGUUUCUUCUGUGACCUUGACACCUACUGGCGGAGCAAACCUGUCUCUAAGCUGCUGAAGACUUGGUGCUGAGAGCCGCUGAGGAACUCGGGGAGGCUGGGCUACUGCUAAAAUGAUCACCCAGAGACUGAGCCAGAAAACUAAAGAAACAACAAGAGAAAAGGAAACCCAAAACCAUGUAUUUUAACUCUGAAAACUGCCUUAGUGUGUUACUCAAAUUGUGUGACGAUGUAUCUCCAUCUAUCACUCUUUGUGCGUAUAUCACAUACGCUUAUUUAAAUCUCUAUUUAUCUACCUCAUUCGGCAAGACAAUGUCUAGCACCUUGACAGGUAUUUCUGGAGGUGGCCAUAGUCUAUAGCAGUGAUGGCGAACGUAUGGCAUGCGUGCCACAACAGGCAUGCAGAGCCCUCUCUGUUGGGACACGAGCCAAGUCACCCCAGCAUCCAAGCAUUGAAUGACAGUUUUUUCUAAACUAAAACCUCAGCACUCAGGCUUGAUGGCAGUGUUGCACUACACUUUGCGAUACAUAAGUGGGUUUUGGGUCACAGUUUAGGCACUCGGUCUCUAAAAGGCUUGCCAUCACUGGUCUGUGGUGAGGACUGGAGACAAUUUUAAAGCAUCCCUUGCCAUUGUGGAAGAUGUCUGUCCCUCCCCACUUCACCAUCACCUAUUGGUUUUGCCCACUGUGCUCAGGCCUGAGCAGAGCCCAGAGAAAACGAGUGUCCCACCAUCUUCCCUACCACCGCUGGUUCAGUGUUCAGAUGGCCAAUCAUGGGCCAAAGCUGCUGGAGAAACCAAGAAUAUCUUGGGUUGCAUAAAUAAAAUGUCACACCCCAAAUAAGGGAGCUGCCAUACUGGUCCUGCUGGAGGAAGCUUGACAUCCUCAAAUGUGUGAAGGGCUGGCCAGCUGGAGACUCAGUGGAUCCGCCUAGGGUUAAUCCAAAGUCCUGAAGUUAGAAAUAAGGGUGAGGAGUGAAGGUAUCAUGGAAUUGCACUCUAUUGCAGCCCAGGACAGAAUUUUCUGACCAAAUGUUAUGGCUGGGAUGCACAAUGGAGCUGGGCUUGUGCAGCUGGAGAGACACAAGGUAGUUAGCAGGUGAGUAGUUAGAAAGUAAAGAGGUCUCCUUUGGACUCUAAGGACUCUAAAAUGUCUCCCCACAGCAACCGCCAUGCUGGCACCUGAAUGCCUGAAUCCACCAGGCAGCCACUGGAGUAGCCAGUUCUGGGAGGUAAAGAGUUAAAAAGAUCAAAGCUCUCUGGGGGCCCCAGGGGCAGACAGUCCCUUUGAUCCCGCUCUUAAUUACAGCCCAGUUGCACUGGGGAACUGUAAAGAAAAGAAACAGGGAAACUCUAGAGAUAGGGUUUGUUUGCUUUCCUGAGGGGACAGUCUUUGCGGUGGCUGCCAGGAAGCUGACACUGCAGCGGCUUGGAGGAUGGCUGUGCGAAAUCAAUCAUCCCUUCACUGGUCAGGUGCAGGAGGACCCCAGGGUCAGGGGCCCUUUCGGCUGGAUGGGAGGUGCAGACUUGGAGCCAGGAGGAGAAAGGAGACCACGCGAACUCUCACAGUCACCUGUGUAGUCAGAGAGGAGAACUGCCUGCCUCGGUGGAAAAAAGGAGGCUUGCCUAGGGAUGAAGAUGGGGUCUCUAAGAGUUCUCACAGAAGGCCACAGAGUCACAACAGCACGAGAAACAACUCACCCUCCAAAAGGUUAGCUGCUGGUCAUGAGCUUGUGGGCUCUCUGUUUGAGCCAUUUACCCAGUGAGGCCCAUCGGGUUCUUUAACUCUCAGUCAGAGAGUGCGCCUGCGCAUGCACAUACACGUAUGAGGCUGGAGAGGAAUGAAAAGGCCACAUAAUGGAGACCAUGCCCUCGUCAUGCCUGGCGGUGUACCAAGUCCCUUUGUGAGGAGGGACUCCCGGCUAAAACUGGACUCCUGCCUGCACAGUGCGCCAGUAAUUGCUUGUUUAUGUUCUGUUGAACUAUUUAGUGCUGAACUAUUUUAUUCUGCUCCCUGUGGUUGCAACUGUGAAAGAUUUCCUGAAGCAAUCCCCCGUUUUUUGCAACCCCCAAGCAGUUGCUGCUGAAAUAAGGUCUGGGUGUCUCUAUGCUACCAACGUGGGUUUCACCCUUCUUCCUGUCACUGGUUAGUGUGUGACCCAGGCAAGCAGCUUGGUCUCUCUAAGCUUCAUUUUCUUUGAGAAAAGUUUUAACUGAACUGACAUGCAUAGAGCUCUCAGCAGAGGGCUCGCCAUAUAGUAGGCAGUCCAUAAAUUCAGUAAGCAUUUGCUCCGUUUCAUUCCUAAAAGGUUAGUGGUAAAUUAAAAAUUCAUAAAAACAUCAGCCAUCUGGGUGGCCUACAUGGGCAUCUGGGCAGGAAGACUUCCUCUAAAUCAGUUUAGCUUGACUCCUGGCUGUAGGAAAGAGGAAGCCACGCGCAGGGCACAGAGAAGAGAAGCACCCCAGAGGAGAGAGGGCAGAUGGAGGCGCAAGGUAGGAGCCUUAUAACCAGAUAGAAAAUGUCUGGAAUCAGGCCUGGGCCUUCGCAGAGGCAACUCCAUUAGAAGGCUAUCUCCUCUAAUGAUGUCUUCAUUUCAUGCUAUGAGACUUUCAAUCUAACAUUUUUAAACAAAUGCAGUGAUAAUGGCAUAGAACACUCUCUCUGUGCUCUUCAUAUUCUUUGGAGAGAUGAGCACAGAAUAGCAUUAUCUACAUCUGAAUAGGUGAUUUUGCCAGAACUCCCCAAACUGGCUCACUGAGGCUGUGAUAGCUAAAGUAGGCACAUUAGACUCUGGGGCUCUAGUUCUACCCCCAGAAAAAGGGAAUCUAAGGCUGAUUUCUAACACAUGUAUUUCUUAGGAGAAAAGAAAAAAUCUCAGGAGCAGAUGUGUAAACACACUAGCCUUUCCUGGAGGUGGUAACCAAAUCCCUUGGGGAAUCGGAGUCUGUGCCACAGAGCAGGCAGACAUUUUGGGUGUGGGACGAUAUCCACAGACAGGCGAUGUGCAGCCGCAGAGCUGGUCAACCCCAGUGAAGUCCCCGCCUUCCGACCUUGGCCCUAGCAGCUCUGGUGCAAGGCUGCUGGUUACUUCAGCCCUACUUCAGCCCCACCCUGAGCCUGAGGCAGCCUGGUGAGGCUUCCUGGGCUGAAGUUUUAGCAGCUGCUUCCAGCCCUAUGGCUUGCAUUUCAAAGCAGCCUUCUGGAUCCAGGCAUCUGCAGCCCCUUACAUUUCUGCAACACAGCCAUUGUAGUUUAGAGCCUCGCAGACGUGCGCCAUCUCAUCCUCUGGGGGUUUGUUAGAAAAGCAGAAUAUUGGCCUCUCCCCAGGCCUAUUGAAUCGGAAUCUACAUUUUUAAUAAGAUCCCCAGGUGAUCUGCAGGCACACAAAAGUUUGAGAAGUGCUGUUCUGAUUUAGUCAUCGGAGGCACCUGGCAUGAAGGCAGCAACCACUUGGCCAAGUACUUUUUCAUCUUGAAAGUCUGUUUUCUUCAAAGCAGUCCUAUGGCCGGGCUCAUGUAGGAGCCACUAGAUCCAGGAAGAAUAAACUCCACGGUCUUGGAGAACAAGAUGACCAAGAUGACCAGUAUCUAGCCCUAUUUCCAGUCACACUGGAAUUACUGUUCUAACCAGUAAUAUCCCCCAAAUGCUUUUUUUUUUUAGUUACCAGGGAUCCAACUUGGGACCUUGCGCUUGUGAGGCAGGUGGUGGAACCACUGAGCUAAAUCCCUGGCCCUCCCCAAAUGCUUAUUUUGAAAGACAGAUACAGAAGUCUUGAUAAUUGUUGGUUUUAAAUGGUGUUUUUUGGUUAUUAAUGGAGAUCUACUUAUUAGAAAGUCACUUAUAGAUAUGAAAGAUUAGCAACAAAUGCUCCCUUUUCUAUUCCAAUUUUCUAAAGCUCUACACAUGGCCCUGGACCAGUGGUGGCGAAUCUAUGGCACACGUGCCGCAGUCAACUGUUUAUAUCAUUCAAAGCUCCAAAAGGUGCACCAUCACUGCCCUAGAUGAAUAUUUGACUGCUGCUAGAGACUCGUGCCAAAGAGAGUAAAAUACUUGAGAGGUUAGUGCAAUGCAGAAGGCCACACUGCUUUCUCAUGCAGUCCUGGAGACUGGGCUAUGGUGUUUAAUCGUAAUGUUUAUUUGGGUUUAUUUUAAUUUUUUAUUUUUUUCUGGUAUUGGGGCUCGAACUCAGGACUUUGCGCUUUCGAGGAAGGCACGGUGCCACUGAGCUAAAUCCCCAGCCCUGCUUAUUUAUGUUUUAAAACACUUUCUCUUUUGUGGAUAUUUAUUUUCCUGGUUCUUUGCUAGCUCUUCUUCUAGACCUCUGGCUAUGUUCCCAAAAGCUCUUCCUGUAUCAUCUGCUCAUCUCUCUUCAUGCUCCCACCUUCCAUGAGGUUCUGAGAAUUCAUGGCUUCAACUAUAGCAUCUACACAGUUGCGUCUCAGGCUGACCUUGAUAACUGGGUGUCUAGACUGCUCUUCAUCUCCACAUUGUCCUAUACUUAUGAGAUCUCUCCACUUAGAUGUCCCAUCUCUUGCUAAAAUCUCUGGGCCCUAAUCCUAAAACUCAUCAUCUCCCUUGCUCCUCUGAUCCUAAUCCCAUUGUUUGGCCCCCUUUUCUCUCUACCCCCACUUCUUUCAUACUGUCUACCAUCAGCGUUUCUCUUGAGAGCCAUGACUUAUCACUGGCUUUUCUAGGCCCUCGGUAGUUUGUACUAUUUUUCCUUUAAGAUGCCUUUGGAUCUGCCUUUUCUCCUGCAUUCUCACACUUCCCAUGCUCAUCCACCUCCUUCCCACACUAUGCCCAGAAUAUUGCAAAAGUUUUCUGGCCACUGGCAUCACUUGUUACAAAUGUUCUAACCUCUUACCCAAUCUAAUAAAUCCUAGAUGAAUCUCUAUAAAGCAUUAGACCUGUUUUACAGGUGAUGAGAUAAAACUCCUUCGUAGGGCUGUUCAGCUCUUCUGCAUUCUGAUUCCAGCUGUUCCAUCUAGCCUGAUGUACCCCUGUUCCCUAACAUUUCAUCUCCAAAGACAUGUUUCCUCACUGUCCCCACCCCACAUCAUGCUGCCUCUCCUUCCUGAGAUUCUGAUCACUGGCUUCUGUAAAUUUUUUGACCACAUAUUGUCAGACAAAUAUUUUUAGCAGAAACAGUCAUCAUAAAGAUAGCUACUUAUUUGUCAGUGGUAUGCAUUCAUAACAAUACUUAGAUUUUCUAUACAAUACUGAACAUAAAUGAAAAUUUACAUUUAAAAAGAUAAGCUAAAUAAUAUAUUAGUUCGACUGUUUUCUUACAUAGCGAGUAAUUUUGCCCUUGGCCUGGGGUGUGAAUAUUCUUCAUCAGAAAUGUGGAUCUAGACAAAAUAUCUCCAUUCUGAUCCAGAGGAAGCAGCCCUUUCUCCAAGACCUUAUCUACCACUCCAACCCAAACAGAACUCGCCUUUCCUGAACUCACAGAACAUUAAAAUUACAAGCACUAAAUCAUUUAUAUAAUAUAUGCUUCACUGAUACUUUUAGUUUGAUUAAUUGAAACUUUCAUUUAAGAUGCCAGAAACUUAUAAAUUUUUAGAAUAAUUCAAUCUCUUAAUUAAAAACAUUACUGUCUUACCAAAAUUGCUUGGCUUGGGCUCUACUCAAGUAUGCCACAUGAAUUACGAGAAAACUCCAAGUGACACUGCAGUGCAAUUUCAUUCAUCUCAUUAAAUAGCAUCUACUUGGGUCUCCAUAGAUUUGAGGAAUUUUUUUUUUCCACUUUUUGGCUAAUAAGACUUUUAGCAUAGUCCUUAACUUCACUCAAAUUCAGUCUUCAUUUAUAAAACAGGAGAAAAGGGGCAUUUAAAAAUAAGCAUAAAAACUGAAGUGACAUACAAGAUGGUAGCAAGUUACCAUCACGAUUACACUUCUUUUUAUUUUUUUUUUGGUACCGGGGAUCGAACUCAGGUCCUUGCACUUGUGCAGCAGGCGGCAAAACCGCUGAGCUAAAUCCGUGGUCCUACACUUCUUAUUUACACAAUAUAAUAUAAACUUUAAGGUACAUCUGAGAUUUCAAAAAUAACUGACCUUCCACAUCCAACUUGAGCUUUAAUAGCUCUGUGCACGUGAAUUAUUUUUAUUUUCUCCAUUUUGUUUGUUCAGCUGAAGCCAUGAUGCUGCCUACCUAGAGGGCUUAGGGGUCUUGCAGGCCUGAAUUUAAGAUGUGGCUCUGCCAAAUGUUAGCUGCAGGGUCACAAGUGUGUCACUGAGUCCUUGGGAGCUUCUUUGCUUAUAUAAGCCAAUUGGGAAGAACAUUAAUCUUCUGGGCCUCUCUUGUUGUUGUUCUAAGGCUUAAAUUACAUGAGAUAUGUGUGCAAAGCCCUUGUUUAUAACACGUGACUCUAAAUACUGUUUUUCCCCCAACCUUUCAGCAGGUUUAAGAGAACUCAGAUGCUCCCAUGGGAAAACAGAAUAUUUGAAUUUUGGUUUCCUUGUUGACUUUGGUUUUUUUCCCCUUUAUAAUCAUUAAUAAAUGGUGGAUCCUAGAAGCACCUCACUGCCCUAUGACUGGGUUGGGGGUUGGGACGUGGAGUAGGCACAUAUAUUGUGCCCUAAUACCUUCUGAGCACUCAGAGCUGAGGAGUCAACCUCUCUUCGAGCUCCCAAAGCCUACUCUAAAUACACCUGCAGUGUAAGAAUGCAUCUGGGGACAAGAGGUAUGUGCCCACCUACCCAGUACACUUCUAAACUGGUCCUUUGCUUCAAAAUUCGAGUCAAUUAACCACUGCAAACCAUCAAUGAGUAAAAGAUUUUUAAAUCUAGCUUAUAAAUCUUGUCCUGAAGGAGCUUUACCUCCCACACCCUUGCCAGAGUGCCCUAGUUUGUUACCUCUCUGUUUGAACUGUUAAUUGAGAUAGUGCCACUGAAAGCCCUUUGUAAAGGGCAAGGAGCGACGCAUAUGCUAAUUACCCUUCUGAAGACUUUUGUGUGCUUAACUGUUCUUAUCUUGUUUGUAAGUAUCUCCUUUCCUGGCUAUUGUGGAUUGCAAACUGCUCAGCAGGGAGACCAGCAGCAUUUUCGGAGUCUUGCCUGCUCCCUUUCGGUCCCUAGAGGGGCCUUACUAUGCCCCAAGUCCUUCAGCAGCAACCAGCUGGCCACUGAUGCUCAGGACCUUGGACCUGCUCUUUGCCAACACCCAGGACUGAGAAUGGGUGUUAAUUCGGACCAAAACCCAACAACAAGACAACUUGAUAUUUCAAGAGGAAAUCAAUUUUAAAACAAACUCUGCUUUUAUGAGGAAAGUGGGGAGUAUAAUCCUCCAGCGUCAGGCCUCAGUUUCCUUGCUGAGGACACAGACAGUCCGCUAACAGCACCAGGGGCUUCGGUAGGCACCCUGCAGUGCAGGAGUGGGACAAUGUCUAAGAUUUCCUUUUGCUGGCUGGCUAAUGUUGAAGGCUUUAUAAACCAUAUGCCCAUGGUCCCUGGUCACUUUAGAGCUGAAACUCUGGCUGCUGAGACUCUGUGAUUGCUCACAGUAGCCUCACUCACAUUUAGGAUUUUUCUUUUCUUGGUUUUUUUUCCACAUUUAGAAUUUUUGGUAUCUCUCAUCUCACAUCUGUAUAUUACUGAAACAGCUCUUAUACUAAGAAACAUAAUAAAGGUUAAAAGAAGUACAGACAGACAGAUAUCUCAAACUCAAAAUUCUUCUUGUUCUCAACACCAAAGCCAUCUCAAACCUAAAAACCAUGUCUAAUGAUUAACAGUGUAAACUGAUAGUAGGCAAUCACAAUAUCAUUCAAGGCUUUAAAACUUACAGUCUUAUACCUCAUAUUUUUGUGCACACACCCACAAAGGCAGGUCCUGGAUAACUGGCUUCGUGUUCUAACUGAAUUAGCCACAGCCAGCGAGCCCAAGAGGUGUUUAACAAACACUUGUUGACUGAUGGAUGGAAUCUGCGGGCGAAGGAUACCUUAGACGAUGAACUCUUUGUCAAAGCACUAAGGUACAUUGUGGAGUCCAUUUUUAUUAGCAAGUGUUUUUGCCAUAUUGAGGAGAAGAGGCCAGCCAAAAGCCUGUCCAUCUUGGAGCUCAGGUUCGUAAAGGAAACCCUAAGUAAGGGUUUACCUCCAACACCCACCUCUGUAAACAGCUGGCAUGCAGAUGGAGGCCUGGGCCUGAUGUAAACCCAGCUCCAUACCACCUUUGACUCCUGACUGAGUAUCACCACAGCCGCACCUAUGAGUUUAUGUACAAUUGCAAGAAGAAAAACAAAAACUGAGCAGAAGAAAAACAAGGAGAAAAAAAUAGUAUUGUAAAUGAUGAACACUGCCUGCCCAAGACUUCCUAUUUCAUCCUGCCAAGAGGCUUUUUUUCAAAGCAUGAAAUACCAAGUUCCUUGCGCCAUGCCGCAGUAGGCAUCCAUAUCUGUCUAAUUCAGCAGCUCAUUCCGGGAAGGAUCCUGGGCUUACGACUCUUGAGUUCUCCUUGCAGCCUCUUCCUCUCUUUCCAGGCAGAUUUUGUAAAAGUGGGAAAAGAUUCUCUCUCUGUUCUGCCAUGCCCUUGGAGUUCUGUGCUCGACUGGCUUCACUUCCGACUGCAGCUUUCUCCUGUCUUUGAGGUCCUGCCUCUCCAACCUCCCAUGACAGCCUUGGUUGGUCUCCACUGCCCAGCAGCUGCUUCGUUGUUGGGGUUCUCUGUCUGAGCCAGCUCUGAUGUGCACCUAGAGAUGUCAGAGGCCCCCCAAACUAUGCUUUCAACAACCAACAUGUCUUGGACUUAUACGAUCUUUUCAUUAAUGAGAAUCCUUUAACCCUUGCAAUGUCUCCUACUACUUCCGUGUUGUUACUGUUUUAUUUUAGAAAAUGUAAACAUACGCUUUCCUUCCCAUCUCUUGUUAUCGGUAGGAGUGUAGGAAGAAAGGAAGAGAAAAAGCAUACAAGAUUGACCCUACUCAUUGUGCUCUGUGGAAUUCUUUUCAGCUCAAUAUCUAAAUCCUCUUCUCCCAAUUCUUACUUGGAAUCCUGAGUACCAGAUCUUGAAUUUCUAUGGCGCUCCCCGAGCGCGGGACUGGCUGGUAGCCAUGUGAUAUUGAUUUGUUUUCACCAUAGCAACAGCAAAUUAAAACAACCAGCAGAGAGAAGGCAGGCGGUUAAGCAGUAAAGCUACAUGACCAGUAUAUUUCACAAGCAUAUUUUUUCCCAUCCUUUUGUUUUCUUCCUUUUUUGUUUUACUUUCACAAAUUUAAUACAAAAGCCACAGUAAAAAUAGCACUAAAUGCUUUGGGCACUACAAGGCCUAUCCCUGGAACAGUCUGCCUUGCUCAGCUUCUAGUAUAUUAGACUAGAUCUACGGAGAAAAUGCAAGUGACAAUUCUCUGACUUCCUUGGAAAUGUAAUUGUUGGUCUAAGAAUAAAUAUCUCUAGAAAAAUUUUAUGAGCAUAAGAUGAAGCAAGACAUAUAUCAUCCAACAAUUUAAUACCAGGGUUUCUACCUUUUGUACUUUAAAUAGCUCAUUGUGCCAAGAUACAACUUUCUUUUCUUUUUCUUUGUUUUGUUUUGGGGGGGGGGGUACAAGGUCAAGGUCUCUGAAAGUGCUGGCACCAUGAGAGAAAGUAUUAUUCAUUUCUAUUAAGAGCUAGGAAAAUUAGGUAGGCACUCGCUCAAGGCUCAGUGAGUGGUGAGAAAGAGGACACGGACUAGCGGACUAGCACUGGGAAUUCCCGGGAACUCCAAUGUGUUCUAACAAAAAUUCUAUCUUAAAAGGAUCCUUAGUCAGCACUAAUCUUCCCCCUCAUCCACAAGACCAAGAGUGCCACCUGUGACACGGGAUUAACAGCCGGUAGUAUUGUAUUUUACUUCCUCUGGGCCAUCUGCCCUAGAACAUGGUGCAUUAUCUCUAAAAGCAGCUGUUCUCACCAUCACAAGCAGCCUUGAACUUGGUGGCAUAACCUGCAUCCUAGACAAUAGCUCCUCGGGGACUGGGAAUAGGGCCCUGGGAACAGUCCACACAGGUGGCAGUACUGGGGUGCACCAGGGGGAAGGUAGGCCUGAAAGAAAGCUGAGCUCGGCUUCCUGCUACUUUUUAGCAGCCAAGCCAGAACCCUGAAGAAAACCUGUGCUGACCAGCAGGUAGGAGAUGAUGCUUUAUUUAUGAAGGGGAUUUCUUCAGAGUUUAUAAAGAACAAGCUAAAAUUUGAAGACAUAACUCAAGUCCUGCUAACUGGGAGUUAGAAUGUUCCUGCCCAGGACUUAGAGAAAUAUUCCUCUCCACGAGCCCGAAUAAAAGAACACACAGCACAAAUAGUUGGGGGAUGACGUCAGAAGUUCUGGGCUAGUGUCCUGCACUUCUCCUUGAAAGUAAAAACAGUGGGUCUAGAAGAAUCUAUGUGGCACUGCCGUUAUUUAAAUGAGCAUUGCUGCCCUCCAAAAGCGAGCGGGAGAGCUGAAGAAACUUCCUCUUACGUAAAGAUUAUAAAGAUGUCCCCCUGCUUUAUUCUUUCUACCUUAUUGUCCCCAAAAUGUACAGUUAACUAUCUUUCCACUUAACCUUUGUCUUGUAAAAGGGACAGUAAUGUCCCUUGAAAAGCAUUCACGGUUGUGGUUAGGCAAGUCUGGAUUUUCUUUUCCUUCGCUUCAGUGCUUGCUAACUAUUCUAAAAAUGUUACACAUUUAUUGUAAACACAUGCUUCCGAGGCCUAACAAAAAAGCACAGUUUCCUCAUGCCUGGCAGAAAUUUAAAACGGAAAAGGGCAGAAAGAAUUCUUUAACAAAUAUAUCCUUUCCCUCUCCUGGGCCAAGUGUGUUAAAAAUAAAUCUUUUCCAUCAUUUCUCACUGCUGCUUGUCGGCAAGAAAGUUGAUAUGGUUCGGCGCGGUGAAAACACAGCUUUAAAAGCUAGCUUGCUCUCAUUAAAUUAUUCUGCUGGCUGUGUGUUCUCAUUAAAAAUGCAUACAGAUCAGAUAAUUGCAGUAAGCAUUAUUAACCCAGCUUUACUUUGGAAUAUAAUGGUUCCACUUUAAAGCUGGAAACAAAGGCUCGGACAUGCCAGGAAAAGAAAUGUAAACAUUGAACUACAGUAUCAAAAACUUGCCAGAAAGCUACCUCUUGCUAGGUUGUUAAAAACGUGUCUUUGAAACUCAAUUAAAGCCUAGCAUUGUAGAAGGAGGGAGGUCCCUAAUUUCCAAUACACAAACCUAUUUUGGGCCCAAAUAUUCAAUCGAUGAUUAUUUACUAUUAAGUGUUUUGUUUUGUUUUUUAGAAUUGUUAAUUGCAGGUCUGUUUUCAAAUAACAGAAUCAACGUAAACUUUACCUAUUCCAGAACUAACUAUGACAGCUUGAAAAUUUUCUAUGACAAGAAAAUAAAAAUGCCCUCAAGAUUUCAACUGAAUUUAAAAAAAAAAAUAAAUAAAUGGAUCUAUUCUUUGAAUAAAAACUCGCCUGUAUGCCUCACCCCAAACAGGCGGCGAAGAUUCGAGCUUUUGCCAUUUCUUUUUCUCAAAUCAAAAUGUUACGUAAAACUCCAGGAUUCCCGGCAAGUAUUACAUUUGAAUUAGUGGAAUCCGGUUUCCCUGGCUUCCCUAAGCAACACACAUGGAAUGCAGCACACUGCAGCAAACUCUUUAAACAUUCAAAAAAAGGGGGGGAGGGAUCGCCUACCUUGUUUAGCUCAGCUUGUCCUCCCCCUGUACAGUAACCCCAGGGACAUCUGGCAGAAUCGAGUGGCCCAGGCUUCUCCACUGCAUCAUGAGGAAGAAAUUUCCAUGCCAAUAGUUCUCCUUCCCUGUUUAUUGUACUCUGAACGCCGUCUGCCGUAUCUGGAAAAUUUUACCUUCAGAUGAUGAAGCAUAGACAGUCUAAACUCUGUUGCUGUAAAGCUGCAGCCCUUCCUUCCGACAAGACCCGCC
Long non-coding RNA from Heterocephalus glaber (naked mole-rat), 19381 nucleotides. NCBI's taxonomy places the organism in Eukaryota, Metazoa, Chordata, Mammalia, Rodentia, Bathyergidae. The record is from Ensembl.